This 299-nucleotide long non-coding RNA is filed under the name Homo sapiens (human). RNAcentral describes it as "non-protein coding lnc-SFMBT2-4:1". The record is from RNAcentral. Lineage: Eukaryota; Metazoa; Chordata; Mammalia; Primates; Hominidae.
GGUACAGAGGCAGAUACAAGAGCAUCCAGCAUGCUGGCAGAUGACUCACUGCAGCCUUCACCUUUGGGGCUCAAACAAUCCUCCUGGCUCAGCCUCCCAUGUAGCUGGGACCACAGGCAUGCACCACCACACUUGGUUAAUUUUUAAUUUUUCUGAGAAAUCUGACUCCAGAGUUUAAUUCUUUUUUUUUUUUUUUUUUUUUUUUGAGAUAGAGUCUUGCUCUUGUUUCCAGGCUGGGGUACGGUGGCAUGAUCUUGGCUCACUGCAACCUCCACCUCCCAGGUUCAAGCGAUUCUCGU